UGCAUAUUAGCUCAGUUGUUUAGAGCAUUGUUCUAAUAAUGCUAGGGCACAGGUUUGAUCCCUAUGUGGGCCA
Molecule: non-coding RNA, 73 nt
Organism: Lamprotornis superbus
Lineage: Eukaryota; Metazoa; Chordata; Aves; Passeriformes; Sturnidae
Source: the annotation of a GenBank genome assembly